GGGUUGUGAGGUUAAGCGACUAAGCGUACACGGUGGAUGCCCUGGCAGUCAGAGGCGAUGAAGGACGUGCUAAUCUGCGAAAAGCGUCGGUAAGGUGAUAUGAACCGUUAUAACCGGCGAUGUCCGAAUGGGGAAACCCAGUGUGAUUCGUCACACUAUCGUUAACUGAAUACAUAGGUUAACGAGGCGAACCGGGGGAACUGAAACAUCUAAGUACCCCGAGGAAAAGAAAUCAACCGAGAUUCCCCCAGUAGCGGCGAGCGAACGGGGAGCAGCCCAGAGUCUGAAUCAGCUUGUGUGUUAGUGGAACGGUCUGGAAAGUCCGACGGUACAGGGUGAUAGUCCCGUACACCAAAAUGCACAGGCUGUGAACUCGAAGAGUAGGGCGGGACACGUGGUAUCCUGUCUGAAUAUGGGGGGACCAUCCUCCAAGGCUAAAUACUCCUGACUGACCGAUAGUGAACCAGUACCGUGAGGGAAAGGCGAAAAGAACCCCGGCGAGGGGAGUGAAAAAGAACCUGAAACCGUGUACGUACAAGCAGUGGGAGCACCUUUAUGGUGUGACUGCGUACCUUUUGUAUAAUGGGUCAGCGACUUAUAUUCUGUAGCAAGGUUAACCGUAUAGGGGAGCCGCAGGGAAACCGAGUCUUAACUGGGCGUUAAGUUGCAGGGUAUAGACCCGAAACCCGGUGAUCUAGCCAUGGGCAGGUUGAAGGUUGGGUAACACUAACUGGAGGACCGAACCGACUAAUGUUGAAAAAUUAGCGGAUGACUUGUGGCUGGGGGUGAAAGGCCAAUCAAACCGGGAGAUAGCUGGUUCUCCCCGAAAGCUAUUUAGGUAGCGCCUCGUGAAUUCAUCUUCGGGGGUAGAGCACUGUUUCGGCUAGGGGGUCAUCCCGACUUACCAACCCGAUGCAAACUACGAAUACCGAAGAAUGUUAUCACGGGAGACACACGGCGGGUGCUAACGUCCGUCGUGAAGAGGGAAACAACCCAGACCGCCAGCUAAGGUCCCAAAGUCAUGGUUAAGUGGGAAACGAUGUGGGAAGGCACAGACAGCCAGGAUGUUGGCUUAGAAGCAGCCAUCAUUUAAAGAAAGCGUAAUAGCUCACUGGUCGAGUCGGCCUGCGCGGAAGAUGUAACGGGGCUAAACCAUGCACCGAAGCUGCGGCAGCGACGCUUAUGCGUUGUUGGGUAGGGGAGCGUUCUGUAAGCCUGCGAAGGUGGCCUGUGAGGGUUGCUGGAGGUAUCAGAAGUGCGAAUGCUGACAUAAGUAACGAUAAAGCGGGUGAAAAGCCCGCUCGCCGGAAGACCAAGGGUUCCUGUCCAACGUUAAUCGGGGCAGGGUGAGUCGACCCCUAAGGCGAGGCCGAAAGGCGUAGUCGAUGGGAAACAGGUUAAUAUUCCUGUACUUGGUGUUACUGCGAAGGGGGGACGGAGAAGGCUAUGUUAGCCGGGCGACGGUUGUCCCGGUUUAAGCAUGUAGGCUGGUUAUCCAGGCAAAUCCGGAUAAUCAAGGCUGAGGUGUGAUGACGAGGCACUACGGUGCUGAAGUAACAAAUGCCCUGCUUCCAGGAAAAGCCUCUAAGCAUCAGGUAACAUCAAAUCGUACCCCAAACCGACACAGGUGGUCAGGUAGAGAAUACCAAGGCGCUUGAGAGAACUCGGGUGAAGGAACUAGGCAAAAUGGUGCCGUAACUUCGGGAGAAGGCACGCUGGUGUGUAGGUGAAGUCCCUGCGGAUGGAGCUGAGACCAGUCGAAGAUACCAGCUGGCUGCAACUGUUUAUUAAAAACACAGCACUGUGCAAACACGAAAGUGGACGUAUACGGUGUGACGCCUGCCCGGUGCCGGAAGGUUAAUUGAUGGGGUUAUCCGUAAGGAGAAGCUCUUGAUCGAAGCCCCGGUAAACGGCGGCCGUAACUAUAACGGUCCUAAGGUAGCGAAAUUCCUUGUCGGGUAAGUUCCGACCUGCACGAAUGGCGUAAUGAUGGCCAGGCUGUCUCCACCCGAGACUCAGUGAAAUUGAACUCGCUGUGAAGAUGCAGUGUACCCGCGGCAAGACGGAAAGACCCCGUGAACCUUUACUAUAGCUUGACACUGAACAUUGAGCCUUGAUGUGUAGGAUAGGUGGGAGGCUUUGAAGCGUGGACGCCAGUCUGCGUGGAGCCAACCUUGAAAUACCACCCUUUAAUGUUUGAUGUUCUAACGUUGGCCCCUAAUCGGGGUUGCGGACAGUGUCUGGUGGGUAGUUUGACUGGGGCGGUCUCCUCCCAAAGCGUAACGGAGGAGCACGAAGGUUAGCUAAUCCUGGUCGGACAUCAGGAGGUUAGUGCAAUGGCAUAAGCUAGCUUGACUGCGAGCGUGACGGCGCGAGCAGGUGCGAAAGCAGGUCAUAGUGAUCCGGUGGUUCUGAAUGGAAGGGCCAUCGCUCAACGGAUAAAAGGUACUCCGGGGAUAACAGGCUGAUACCGCCCAAGAGUUCAUAUCGACGGCGGUGUUUGGCACCUCGAUGUCGGCUCAUCACAUCCUGGGGCUGAAGUAGGUCCCAAGGGUAUGGCUGUUCGCCAUUUAAAGUGGUACGCGAGCUGGGUUUAGAACGUCGUGAGACAGUUCGGUCCCUAUCUGCCGUGGGCGCUGGAGAAUUGAGGGGGGCUGCUCCUAGUACGAGAGGACCGGAGUGGACGCAUCACUGGUGUUCGGGUUGUCAUGCCAAUGGCACUGCCCGGUAGCUAAAUGCGGAAGAGAUAAGUGCUGAAAGCAUCUAAGCACGAAACUUGCCCCGAGAUGAGUUCUCCCUGAGACUUUAAGUCUCCUGAAGGAACGUUGAAGACGACGACGUUGAUAGGCCGGGUGUGUAAGCGCAGCGAUGCGUUGAGCUAACCGGUACUAAUGAACCGUGAGGCUUAACCUUACAACGCCGAAG
This 2925-nucleotide ribosomal RNA is filed under the name Klebsiella quasipneumoniae subsp. similipneumoniae. Its description in RNAcentral is "23S ribosomal RNA". It matches the Rfam family "Bacterial large subunit ribosomal RNA". Lineage: Bacteria; Pseudomonadati; Pseudomonadota; Gammaproteobacteria; Enterobacterales; Enterobacteriaceae. The record is from RNAcentral.